Long non-coding RNA from Brassica oleracea var. oleracea, 502 nucleotides. RefSeq lists it as uncharacterized. The transcript has 2 exons. NCBI's taxonomy places the organism in Eukaryota, Viridiplantae, Streptophyta, Magnoliopsida, Brassicales, Brassicaceae. The record is from RefSeq and is a predicted model, not a curated record.
CACAUGGUCGAUGAUCACUACGGGAGAGAGAGCUUAUUGUCUCCUUCCCAUUUCUAUAUUACUGUUUCCUCUUUAACCACUCUUAUCCUAUCACCAGUUCACCACUAUUCCUCGGACUAGGUCCGCUCUCCUUUCUCCCACACCCUCUCUCCUAGCUUUCAGAUCUGUCUUGAUUCAGAUUUGAUACCAAAGUUUCGAUAUUUACGAGGAGGAGGGUCUGGAGUUGCAUUGGCUGAGAGAUAGACCAGAUGGAGGGAAAGAAGAGAAAAAGAGUGUGAAUUGGAGUCUUUCGCGCAGAACAGUCGACCGGAGCAGCCUGAGUGCAUGCUCCAGCGGCAGAGAUAAAAAAAGAAGUUUCCAAAUAUUUCGGGAUUUGCCUUAGAUUUCCUGUUUUUCCAUAUAGCCGCAUGUGGCUCCUAUAUAUAUAGUCUUUUAUUUAUUACUUUAGACCUACCUUAGUUUUUACGCAAGAAAGACCUAAGAGAGCUUGUGUUUUCGGCGA